RNAcentral lists this ribosomal RNA (404 nucleotides) under uncultured bacterium. Its description in RNAcentral is "partial 16S ribosomal RNA". It matches the Rfam family "Bacterial small subunit ribosomal RNA", at positions 28 to 526 of the family's 1533-position model. The record is from RNAcentral.
GAUGAACGCUGGCGGCGUGCCUAAUACAUGCAAGUCGAGCGAAGCGAGGACGGGUGAGUAACACGUGGAUAACCUCCUAUAAGACAGGGAUAACUUCGGGAAACCGGAGCUAAACCGGACGCUUAUAGAUGGAUCCGCGCUGCAUUUGCUAGUUGGUAAGGUAACGGCUUACCAAGGCAACGAUGCAUAGCCGACCUGAGAGGGUGAUGUCCAACACUGGAACUAAGACAGGUCCAGGCAUCUACGGCAGGCAGCAGUAGGGAUUCUUCCGCAAUGGGCGAAAGCCUGACGGAGCAACGCCGCGUGAUUGAUGAAGGUCUUCGGAUCGUAAAACUCUGUUAUUAGGGAAGCGGUACCUAAUCAGAAAGCCACGGCUAACUACGUGCCAGCAGCCGCGGUAAUAC